RNAcentral lists this ribosomal RNA (255 nucleotides) under uncultured bacterium. Its description in RNAcentral is "partial 16S ribosomal RNA". It matches the Rfam family "Bacterial small subunit ribosomal RNA", at positions 99 to 354 of the family's 1533-position model. The record is from RNAcentral.
CGGACGGGUGAGUAACGCGUGGGUAACCUGCCCUGUACAGGGGGAUAACAGUUGGAAACGGCUGCUAAAACCGCAUAACAUGGAGAUACCGCAUGAUAUUUCCAUCAAAUAUUUAUAGGUACAGGAUGGGCCCGCGUCUGAUUAGCCAGUUGGCAGGGUAAUGGCCUACCAAAGCGACGAUCAGUAGCCGGCUUGAGAGAGUGACCGGCCACACUGGGACUGAGACACGGCCCAGACUCCUACGGGAGGCAGCAG